Molecule: long non-coding RNA, 800 nt
Organism: Solanum pennellii
Lineage: Eukaryota; Viridiplantae; Streptophyta; Magnoliopsida; Solanales; Solanaceae
Exons: 5
Source: RefSeq, a predicted model, not a curated record
AGUCCAUUAAAUGGAAUUCCCAACUUCUAUAUCAAACCCUAAAAUAUAGGUUUUCCAAAUUUGAACUCCUUUUCUUUAUCCCCAUAUCGUUGCUUGUUGUUGUAUGAAAUUCAAUCUUCUUAACUUGAAGAGAGACAUAAUUUGGUGGAACAAUGGAUCCAAGAAGUGGUUUCGAUAGAGGCGCCUAGUCGUGUGGUUGAUCUCGCAACUCUAUGACACUUUGUUUUCUAUGUGGGGAUCCUCCAAUUCUGAAAAUUUUAUGGAUAAAUGACAAUCCCGAACGUAGAUUUAUCAGUUGUAAUAUGGGUCCUCAUUUUGAAAUCCUUGUAAUUUUUUUGAUUGGUAUGAUCCUGAAUUUCCUAGCCAAGCAAAUAUUGUGAUAUUGGGUUUUUUGAAGAAGACCAACAAACAAGAAGAACAAUUGAAAUGUAGAUGGAUGUUGAAACUGAUUUUAGGCAUUUGUCUUGCUUCAGGUGGUUCAACCAUUGGGUUUCUGCUUUCAAGCCACAUUUCAUGUUUGGGACUGAUUGAAUGAAAUGAGAAUAUGUCUUCAGAUAUGUAUCUUUUCUAUACCACCUUGAAAUUGCUUGUGAUGCAUCCAUGUACAAGUGGUUCAUUGCUGCUAUACCAUGUGCACAUGGGAUGUCUUUUUAUUCCAAGAUCUGCAGCUACAUUUUUGUUGACCCAAGUUAACAGUAUGCUUGUAUACCCCUUCAAUACUUUAAAUCCAACAUCACCAUUCCAUUCAAUGUUGCACUGCAUUGAUCUUAUUACAUUGAUAUUGAAUACCAUUAUUGUCA